Molecule: long non-coding RNA, 572 nt
Organism: Ochotona curzoniae (black-lipped pika)
Lineage: Eukaryota; Metazoa; Chordata; Mammalia; Lagomorpha; Ochotonidae
Exons: 2
Source: RefSeq, a predicted model, not a curated record
GUCAUCAGAACAGAUGCCCCAAGACAUGCACGAUCUAAGUAAAUAGACUGGAAAUUAGGCCAUUCAAGGAUGGUUAAGGAAAUGGCUGUGUCUGUAUGGAGAAGCAGAUGUGGUCUCCAGGUUUUGUGUGUGUGUGUGUUGUUUUGUUUGUCUGUUUUUCAGGGAGACACAAAUGCAUUCACGUGGAAUAGAGCAAGUAUGGAAUUUGAAGUCAAAGCCCAUCUGGCUUUCAGCAAGUGGAUUCAACUCUGAGCCUUCUUUGGUCAAGGAGGCUGCAAUGGCCAUAAUGGAAGGCUCACUGUGGAUACAACAGGUGGUUCUACUCUGCCUGCUCAGCAGGAGAGAGCGUGACAAGGGACAGAGUGACCUUCCCCAGGAGUCCAUGGUCAUGGGUUAGAUGCACAUGCAGUAAAAGCCCUCGAAACCUUCAAGGAACUAAGUGCAAAUGAAUACAAGGUGGACCAAGCACGCGAGAAGACACGCAGCCUUCAGUCCCUCCAGGCCCCAGGGAGUGUUCAGCCAUUUAUGACAGCUCCAGACUUUCCCCAGUCAAUAAACAGAAACAGAAACCA